Molecule: non-coding RNA, 836 nt
Organism: Doryrhamphus excisus (bluestripe pipefish)
Lineage: Eukaryota; Metazoa; Chordata; Actinopteri; Syngnathiformes; Syngnathidae
Source: RefSeq, a predicted model, not a curated record
UAUUACCAUAUUCGACACUUUUUGACAACUUUGUGAUAUCAAUUUACUCAAAUAAAAUGUUUUCCUGACUACAAUAGGUACCACACAAAAGCUUUACAUAUUGAUUUUUGUUGUUGUAUUUUUUUAAAGUACGGACUGUAAAUGAUAAGAUGAGCAACAGCUGUGAAUGUAAUUAAUAUACGUAUGUUUAAUGUCAUUCAUAAAUGCUUUGAUUAGUAGUCUAAAGUGAUGCAGCCACCAGUGAUCUUAACAGAAUUACAAGGGCGAUGCUGUGGCAGCACGGUGGAGCAUGUGGUUAGCACAUCUGCCUCACAGCCAGGAAUCCGGACUCUGUGCACGGAAGGCAGCAGGUUGCUAUGAUGGGAUUCCCACUGAUGCAAUAUCAGCCAACCUUGACUCAACUCUCUGGGGACUACGUUGAUAUUAUGCACAUUGAAAGACGGCUUAACCGGAUGCUUUUCUGUGUUCUGAGGAGAGAUGUGGUUCAUUUCAACAAGAGGCCCAGGUGUGGUUGUGUUGCAUCUCAAUGCAUUCACUCUAUUGGCUGGCCAGAGUGAACUUAUGAGACAGCCGUCUGGAGACUGCAAUGUUUACAAAAGUCGGACAAGUCCAGGAAGGUGUGCUUGGUUGUAAAGGUGGUUCAGAGAAGCUUGGAGAAGUUCCUUGUGUGUUAAUGUGUAGCUUUCUCACAAGAGGCACCUUUGUAAAGCGGACAGUGUUUCGGGUUGUGGACUUUGAUUUCUGCCUGAUUCAAGCAAAAGAAUAAAAACUGCUGAUCAUUGACUAGUAUACUAACCCGUAUGAUUCUCUCUGGACCAGAGAUUUUUUUUUUAAAG